Molecule: ribosomal RNA, 468 nt
Filed under: uncultured bacterium
Lineage: Bacteria
Description: partial 16S ribosomal RNA
Rfam family: Bacterial small subunit ribosomal RNA
Source: RNAcentral
GACGAACGCUGGCGGCGUGCUUAACACAUGCAAGUCGAACGGAAAGGCCCUGCUUUUGUGGGGUGCUCGAGUGGCGAACGGGUGAGUAACACGUGAGUAACCUGCCCUUGACUUUUGGAUAACUUCAGGAAACUGGGGCUAAUACCGGAUAGGAGCUCCUGCUGCAUGGUGGGGGUUGGAAAGUUUCGGCGGUUGGGGAUGGACUCGCGGCUUAUCAGCUUGUUGGUGGGGUAGUGGCUUACCAAGGCUUUGACGGGUAGCCGGCCUGAGAGGGUGACCGGCCACAUUGUGACUGAGAUACGGCCCAGACUCCUACGGGAGGCAGCAGUGGGGAAUAUUGCACAAUGGGCGGAAGCCUGAUGCAGCAACGCCGCGUGCGGGAUGACGGCCUUCGGGUUGUAAACCGCUUUCGCCUGUGACGAAGCGUGAGUGACGGUAAUGGGUAAAGAAGCACCGGCUAACUACGUG